AUACGGAGGAUCCGAGCGUUAUCCGGAUUUAUUGGGUUUAAAGGGUGCGCAGGCGGGAGAUUAAGUCGGCGGUUAAAUUUUGCAGCUCAACUGUAAAAGUGCCUUCGAAACUGGUUUCCUUGAGUGUAGAUGAAGUAGGCGGAAUUUGUGGUGUAGCGGUGAAAUUCAUAGAUAUCACGAGGAACUCCGAUUGCGCAAGCAGCUUACUAAACUACUACUGACGCUCAGGCACGAAGGAGUGGGGAUCAAACAGUAUUAGAUACCCUGGUAGUCCACGCAGUAAACGAUGAUUACUAGCUGUUUGCGAUACAAUGUAAGCGGCUGAGCGAAAGCGUUAAGUAAUCCUCCUGGGGAGUACGUUCGCAAGAAUGAAACUCAAAGGAAUUGACGGGG
RNAcentral lists this ribosomal RNA (393 nucleotides) under uncultured bacterium. RNAcentral's name for it is "partial 16S ribosomal RNA". It matches the Rfam family "Bacterial small subunit ribosomal RNA", at positions 523 to 918 of the family's 1533-position model. The record is from RNAcentral.